Molecule: unclassified non-coding RNA, 383 nt
Filed under: uncultured Verrucomicrobiae bacterium
Lineage: Bacteria; Pseudomonadati; Verrucomicrobiota; Verrucomicrobiia
Description: contains 16S-23S intergenic spacer region
Source: RNAcentral
UCCUCGUUUAAACGAGGCAGUCCAUCCAGAGUGCUUCCAAUUAAGGAGUGGCAACUGGACGCAAGGGUUGCGCUCGUUGCGGGACUUAACCCAACAUCUCACGACACGAGCUGACGACAGCCAUGCAGCACCUGUGUAUCCUGGUAUUGCUACCUCGUCAGGCUUUCACCCUUCUACUAGAUACAUGUCAAGGCCAGGUAAGGUUCUUCGCGUUGCAUCGAAUUAAGCCACAUACUCCACCGCUUGUGCAGGCCCCCGUCAAUUUCUUUGAGUUUUAAUCUUGCGACCGUACUUCCCAGGCGGCACGUUUAACGCGUUAGCUUCGCCACAAAAGGGGUCGAUUCCUUUUACAGCAAACGUGCACCGUUUACGGCUAGGACUAC